Molecule: long non-coding RNA, 265 nt
Filed under: Lathyrus oleraceus (garden pea)
Lineage: Eukaryota; Viridiplantae; Streptophyta; Magnoliopsida; Fabales; Fabaceae
Description: Pisum sativum (pea) long non-coding RNA (PSAT_LNC014801)
Source: RNAcentral
GAUUAUUAAGAAGACUAUGAAGUUGCUAGCUUGGAUGUGGCUAUCUUUAUUUGAUGCCUUGCUCUUCAUCUUGCUUGCUUAUUGAUAUUGCUUGAUUUUAAAGUCCAAAGGAAAUGUGGGUUUCUAUAUGACAUUCUUGUCAAUUGAAUUGCAUCCCAUUGGUCAGAUAUUUUUAACUCUCAACUUUUAAAUUUUUGCUUAGGAUUAGUCUCUUCAUCUCCUCCCACUUCUUAAAUUUCAAAUCUCUCCCCUCUUUCAAAACCUU